AUUGAACGCUGGCGGCAGGCCUAACACAUGCAAGUCGAACGGUAACAGGAAGAAGCUUGCUUCUUUGCUGACGAGUGGCGGACGGGUGAGUAAUGUCUGGGAAACUGCCUGAUGGAGGGGGAUAACUACUGGAAACGUUAGCUCAUACCGCAUAACGUCGCAAGACCAAAAAGGGGGACCUUCGGGCCUCUUGCCAUCGGAUGUGCCCAGAUGGGAUUAGCUAGUAGGUGGGGUAACGGCUCACCUAGGCGACGAUCCCUAGCUGGUCUGAGAGGAUGACCAGCCACACUGGAACUGAGACACGGUCCAGACUCCUACGGGAGGCAGCAGUGGGGAAUAUUGCACAAUGGGCGCAAGCCUGAUGCAGCCAUGCCGCGUGUAUGAAGAAGGCCUUCGGGUUGUAAAGUACUUUCAGCGGUGAGGAAGGGAGUAAAGUUAAUACCUUUGCUCAUUGACGUUACCCGCAGAAGAAGCACCGGCUAACUCCGUG
Molecule: ribosomal RNA, 490 nt
Filed under: uncultured bacterium
Lineage: Bacteria
Description: partial 16S ribosomal RNA
Rfam family: Bacterial small subunit ribosomal RNA
Source: RNAcentral